This 3752-nucleotide long non-coding RNA is filed under the name Papio anubis (olive baboon). RNAcentral describes it as "lncRNA (ENSPANG00000047221.1)". Lineage: Eukaryota; Metazoa; Chordata; Mammalia; Primates; Cercopithecidae. The record is from RNAcentral.
AUGCUCCGGGAGCGCCCCGCCCCGCCCCGCCCUCCCCCGCCCCCCUCCCGCGGCGGGCGCUGCCCACCCCACGGAGCGGAGGGGCGUGCAGAGGCUACAAGUGCGGCGGCUGGUGAUUGGGGGACUUUCUCCGGGAGCCGUGCCGGGAGAGCGUGCGGUGCUGGAGCCGUACCGGGUGGCCGAAGCAGAAGAAAGAAAUUUACAUCUCCCUUCAUGAACGGAAAAACAACUUGGAAAACAGUCUUUGGUUUAAUUGUGGAGUAUGACUUGAGUAAGCCGACUGAGGAAAAUAGAGUAGAAAGAAGAACCUGUCAGCAUAUUGUCAGUCUGUCCAUGAGCCACUUGGUAGGUGGAAACAUUUCUGAAAAGAUCUAUUGAUCUAUGGAGAAGGACCAAUGAAACAAGGACUAAUUUUCAGACUGUGAUGGUUAAUAUUGAGUGUCAACUUGACUGGAUUGAAGGAUGCAAAAUAUUGUUCCUGGAUGCCUCUGUGAGGGUAUUGCCAAAGGAGAUUAACAUUUGAGUCAGUGGACUGGGAGAGGUAGACCCACUCUCAAUCUGGGUGGGCACCAUCUAAUCAGAUGCCAAAGCAGCUAUAAGAAAAGCAGGCAGGAGAAGAUGGAAGAGCAGACUUGCUGAGUCUUCCGGCCUUCAUCUUUCUCCCGUGCUAGAUUCUUCCUGCCCUCAAACAUAACACUCCAAGUUCUUCAGCUUUUGGACUUUUGGACUUUUGGACUUAUACCAGUGGUUUGCCCAGGGGCUUUUGGGCCUUUGGCCACAGACUGAAAGCUGCACUGUCAGCUUCCCUACAUUUGAGGUUUUGGGACUCGGACUGAUCACCACUGGCUUCCUUGUACCUCAACUUGCAGACAGUCUAUCGUGAGACUUUACCUUGUGAUUGUGUGAGUGAAUUCUCCUUAAUAAACUUUCUUUCAUAUAUAUGUGUGUGUGUGUAUAUAUAUAUAUAGGAGAUAUAUAUAUCUCUCCUAUUUGUUCUUCCCGCUAGAGAACCCUGGCUAAUGCAAAGACCUAUAGAAGAAGAGUUGAGACUCUAUUGUGAAAGUUUUGGAGGCACCUUUUAUGGUGGCCCACGUAGAAGACCUUACCAUGUUUCCAUAAAUGAGGGCCUCUACAAAUUUUGUAAAAGUCCUUCUAACUUGGAAAAUUACUAUGAAUCUAUUUAAUUCCUUAUAGGAUUUUACCACUGAAGGUUAGAGAAUAUAAUUUUGGCUUGGAAACUUCAAUAAUUUGUCAUCCCAGCCAAAAAAGCAAACUCUUCAUUGCCUCUACAAAGAACAUUCCUAUGAACUCAUAAGAUUCAAAUGAAAUAACCCAAUACUUCAGCUCUCUUUUGAUUAGUUAAAAAGAGACAGAGAGACAAAGAAAGAAAGAAAGAAAGAAAGAAAGAAAGAAAGAAAGAAAGAAAGAAAGAAAGAAAGAAAGAAAGAAAGAAAGAAAAAGAAAGAAAGAGGAAAAGAAAAGAAAACCCCUAAAUUAAUAAUAUAAUAAAGUUAUCCCUCAUUGCUGCUUUCACUGGACACCUCCAAAUAUGAUCUCUUUUAAAAUCCUGCUGGAUGAGGAUAUUAAGGAAUACUAGUAAAUGCAAGUAUUUUCAUUUUAAUUAGAUUAUGCUAAUGCUACUGAAAAUAAUCUGCCAAUAUGCUUGCUGCUUUUUCCAAAGCUCUGAUAUGAACCAAACAGGCUGGUUCUUACACAUUUUUUUUCAUAUUUAGUGAGAAAGCCUCCCCCAAUAAGAAAAAUUCAUCAGAAUGCUUAUGAGCACUUUAGAUUUUAGAUAAGGAUACUCCAUUCCAUUUAUUGUAUGUCAAGUAUAAGAAUUUAGGACAAUAUAUACAGUCAAUCUGUUUAAAAAUUCUUUCUCUAUAGAUUGUUAAGUAGGUGAUAAAUCUUGAGUUGUUAUUAACGUUAAAAGUAACUAAAGAUGGUCAGGUGUGGUGGCUCACGCCUGUAAUCCCAGCACUUAGGGAGGCCAAGGAGGGUGGAUCACUUGAGGUCAGGAGUUUGAGACCAGCCUGGCCAUCAUGGCGAAACCCCAUCUCUACUAAACACACAAAAAAUUAGCCACGCAUGGUAGCAUGUGCCUGUAAUCCCAAGCUACUUGGGAGGCUAAGGCAGGAGAAUCGCUUGAACCAAGAGGUGGAGGUUUCAGUGAGCUGAGAUCACAUCACUGUACUCCAGCCUGGGCAACAGAAUGAGACUCCAUCUAAAAUAAUAAUAAUAAUAAUUCCAAACUGCUAAGACCUUAGUUAGGCUGUGUUGCCUAUGGGGUCCCCAAGCUCAUCACCAUCCCUUAAGCCCAGGAUGAUGGAAGCCUCUGAGAAUCUUGACUAAAAAUUCCAGUAUCACUGACAGUGAGAGCAGAGAGUACUCUAAGUAAGGCAGAUUUGUCAGACCUGAACCUCUUAGGAUUGGCUAAAUUCUGAUCACCAGUUUAAACCUGCAACUCAGUACCAAGGUCUUUAGUGUAGAAAUAGCAAAUGUGCACUUAUGCAAUCUUCAACUCUUACACCUAUUUCCAACUACAAGUUAAUCAAGCACAGAGAAUGUAUUGAAGUUGUGUGCCUGAAAAUGAUAACCACAUUGACUUGAUAGGCUGAAAAUGGAAGGGGAAGAGACUAGAAGGCCCAGAAACAUCAGAGCCUUAAAAAUGUGAUAUAGCAGGUGGAUGAAGACUGAUAAACUCAGCUUCAUUGAGUUCUUAUGGAUUUUCUGCAGCUGGAGAACAUGAGGCAGAGAGUUCAUCUCUGGCGAAAUUGGGACUAAUCUUAUUCCUUAAGAUGCCUAUGGGAGUAAAGAAUGUUUUUAAAGACCAGAUGCAAGCAUUUUUAGCAGCCAGCAAAUUAGAAGUGGAGAUAAGACAGAGUGAGAUGAGCUGGAAGAAGAGCUAUCCUUCCUUGAAUAGCAGUUCAAGCUCAUAUUCCCUCUGUCACCAUUCAGACAUGACCUCCACCAGCAGAGCCUAAUGCACAAGUUAGCAUAAAGAAAUACUGUCUCUUAGAAUGGCAUCCAGCAGGAGGAGGCAGGGCCUUUUGUCUCAAACCAACUUGUGCAUACAGAGGGAUAAGGAAUUAUCCUCAUCUUAAACUCAAAGCACUCUCCAUUUCAGAACAGGAAAAAAAUGUACAUGGCAUCCAGGAAUUUACUUUUUUAUUUAACCUCAUUCUGCUGCUUAUCAGUUAUUACCAGAACUUUAUUCUCACCUUUUUAACCCUUCCCUUCCCUUUAUCCCUCUAGGAAAGACACAUUUUUAAUCGUUGGCAAAUGUUUGAGGUUUUUGUUUGUUUUAGUUUUAGUGUUUGUUUGUUUGUUUGUUUAGUCUUGACUAUAGAACAUGUCCAGCCUAUUGAAACUCUGUCAAAGCUCUAAGGCUUACAGAUGCCACCUGCACUGUUAACUUAGUCUUUCUUCUCCUAUUGCUUGCAGUUGGUAUGCCAUUAUUGUAAAUUACACUGAAUCUGCCAUUGAGACAUCCUCUCCUUUAUCUUGUUUGUGUUGUGGAGAUAAGAGAUAAAUUGAAUGUCCCAAGUGAAAUGCUAUCAAGUUUUCCCUCUAUGUGUAGAAAUGGCAGUUUCUGAAGGCUCACUUAUUCUCAGAACUUCCACCCUCUAGAGUUGAUAUAAAAGGAAAAAAAGGAGGUAGAAAUCCAUAUUUACUAGUAGUUUUCCCUCUGGGAGCCUUUUCACUAACUCUUUUACUUUCUUUUCCUAAAUACUGUUAUGUCAAGCUGUGUG